UCCGGUUUAGCACCGGCAGUCCUCCCAGAGUCCCCGCCAUGACGCGCUGGCAACUGGGAGCGGGGGUUGCGCUCGUUGCGGGACUUAACCCAACAUCUCACGACACGAGCUGACGACAGCCAUGCAGCACCUGUGUCCUGGUCCCCGAAGGGAAAACCGGAUCUCUCCGGCGGUCCAGGCAUGUCAAAAGGUGGUAAGGUUCUGCGCGUUGCUUCGAAUUAAUCCACAUGCUCCGCCGCUUGUGCGGGCCCCCGUCAAUUUCUUUGAGUUUUAGCCUUGCGGCCGUACUCCCCAGGCGGGGUACUUAAUGCGUUUGCUGCGCCACCGAAGAGCAAGCUCCCCGACGGCUAGCACCCAUAGUUUACGGCGUGGACUAC
This 377-nucleotide unclassified non-coding RNA is filed under the name uncultured bacterium. RNAcentral's name for it is "contains 16S-23S intergenic spacer region". The record is from RNAcentral.